Xyrichtys novacula (pearly razorfish) is the source of this 1997-nucleotide non-coding RNA. The record is from the annotation of a GenBank genome assembly. NCBI's taxonomy places the organism in Eukaryota, Metazoa, Chordata, Actinopteri, Labriformes, Labridae.
GUAACUUUUACUGUUCCUUUUACCAUACGUUUUGCCAUAUUUUCUAUAGCACCAGAAGCUGAGUAAAAAUGAAAUAAAAAGAUAUGUACAAGAUCUUCCGUCAAUUGCACGACAGCCAGUUGAAUGGAUGAUGUUUACACCACACAAAAAUCAAAUCUUACCGAAUGAAUUCACCCCAAUUGUGGUCCAAUAUUUUAUCCCACGAAAUAUAAAAUAAACAUGACAGGUUUAAAUAUUAUUCCUGUUUUGAGAUAUUUCAAGGCCAAAAAGUCCAUCUCUUUGACUUGUGAUAGAAAGCCUCUCUGUACAGAGAGCCAUGACUUAGCAUGCAGUGUGCAGGAUCAAGUACAAAGUGCAAUACUGACAAAAAACACUGUUUUUGUACUCUUAGUACAGAAGUCGUAUAAAUUCAUGUAAGUUCUUGCGGUUAUAGUCCAAAACAAGAGAGAUCACACAAAGUUCUCCCAUGGGCAUUUCCCAUUGAAACUCCAACAGAUUCAUAUUUUGAUCUGUUUCAAAGCUAAGUUAAAAAAGUCAAAAAUACCCCCCAGUUUGUUGAAAAUGUAAAAGCACAAGAAGCUCCAUAGCUUAGUGGUUUAUACAAAUAAAUAGCAUUCCAGAAACUACUGCCAAGCUUUAAUGCAAGACUGUGUUUUUUUCCAUCUUUCAGAUGAAACUCUUGUUUGUGUUUAAACACUUUAAUUAACGGCAUUUAAGUGCUGUGAUAUGUCUUUUUUAUCUUAGGAAAGUUGAAUUUACCACAACCCACACUGCACAAACCCAUUAACAUUCUUUGGCUACAAUUAUUAUUAUUAUUAUUAUUAUUAUUUGAACAAGUCAUUGAGCCCAACUGCCAAGUUAUGUUUGUGACAUUUCCCUUAUCAAACUUAUCAAACAAAGUAAUAAUGAGCUCCACUAUGAAAUACAACAACAGCAAACCUCUUUCCUUAUAACCAUAUUUUAUAACUGUAUGUGACUAUCUGAUAUGUUUUUAGGACCAAUGGGUUCUGACUCUGACACAAAUCAACAUCAAGUCAAAGAACCGGAGAAAGAGGGGUGCCUGUUGUUGGGUUGGUGGUUUCAGAGUGCGCUCCACAUACUGAGGCCAAGUCCUCGUUGCAACAGUAGCUACAGUCAUCUCCCAGAUGACUCCCUUUGUGUCAUGCCAUCCCUCAUUAUCCCACAUUGUCCUCCUCUCUUCAUUUGUUCUGUUCAGUGAGGCCCAAAAUUCCCAUAAGUAUAACUAAAAAUGAGAAAAGUAUGAGCAAGCUACUAAAAAAAUCUAAUUGAGCAAGCUGAAGUAGCUAAAAGCUAAUGCUGAUAAAAUCAUCUGUUUCCAUUUAACCUGUCCUAAAAUCUGUGGUUUCCAGCUCUGAGCGCAAAGUCCUAAUUUUAAAGUGAAGUUGAUAUGAAUGGUUCUUUAACCUGCUUUUAGUCUUACAGGUGGCGUCUUUGUUUGCGUGUGUGCAAUUUUUUUAACUGCUGGUUCAAAAGCUUGUUUGAUACAGCAUGAUGUUCAUCUUUUUAAAAUGAGAGAAAUCCACAUCAAAGCAGACUAACUUUAAUCAGAUCCAGUUGAAUUCCAAAGUCUAGUGUCUAGAGAGGAAAGUGAAAGAGGAAGCAAACGGCAUACUCCUGUGUGUCCACGUGGCUUUGAGGAUAAGAACACUGACUGGGACCCCUAAGGUCAUGGGUUCGAGCCUUAUCCAGGACCAAUUAUAAAGUCCAGGAGCCAAAGUACCAAGAUAAAAGCACACAGAGCUCAUCCCCAAGUGUGGAUGGUAUCCGGUGGUGCAGCGUGGUAGACAACUGACACCCAAAUGCCAGUUAAGCGGGCUGGUUGGUAAGCCGCUCCUGGUUCAAAACCCACUCGGCACAAGGGAGAUCCAGAAGCAAAUCCUGGGGAACCAGGCCUGGGGUGAGGGGUUUUCCCCCCAGUAAACAGUCACCUCUCACUCUUAAAGACAAGCUGGCUGCAUGAAGUUUAGGAAAUGGUG